This 492-nucleotide ribosomal RNA is filed under the name uncultured bacterium. RNAcentral describes it as "partial 16S ribosomal RNA". It matches the Rfam family "Bacterial small subunit ribosomal RNA", at positions 29 to 507 of the family's 1533-position model. The record is from RNAcentral.
AGUGAACGCUGGCGGUAGGCCUAACACAUGCAAGUCGAACGGCAGCACAGUAAGAGCUUGCUCUUACGGGUGGCGAGUGGCGGACGGGUGAGGAAUACAUCGGAAUCUACUUUUUCGUGGGGGAUAACGUAGGGAAACUUACGCUAAUACCGCAUACGACCUACGGGUGAAAGCAGGGGAUCUUCGGACCUUGCGCGAUUGAAUGAGCCGCUGUCGGAUUAGCUAGUUGGAAGGGUAAAGGCCCACCAAGGCGACGAUCCGUAGCUGGUCUGAGAGGAUGAUCAGCCACACUGGAACUGAGACACGGUCCAGACUCCUACGGGAGGCAGCAGUGGGGAAUAUUAGACAAUGGGCGCAAGCCUGAUCCAGCCAUACCGCGUGGGUGAAGAAGGCCUUCGGGUUGUAAAGCCCUUUUGUUGGGAAAGAAAAGCAGCAGGUUAAUACCCCGCUGUUCUGACGGUACCCAAAGAAUAAGCACCGGCUAACUUCGUG